CAAAUUUACGAUUACGAGUAAUAAUUUUUUUUAUCCAACAAAAUAUGGGUAAAAUGAGUGAGUGUCCGUUAAAUUAUAGACAUUUUGGACAACCCACGGAUAUCCAUGAAAAUCUGCAUAUAUAUUUUAAUUAAAAAAUAUAUAAUCUUUAUGAUAUUUACUUUAUAAUUAUGGCAACUUAAAUAAUUUUGUAUCCUAAAAAUUUAGGAUAAUAAAAUAUUUUUAUAUUAUAUAAUUUAUGCGUUUUUAAGAUAUUAUAUUAUUUAUUAUAGGGAAAACUUCAAAAAACCCCCCUGUGGUUUCGUAGAUUCUUACUUUGCCCCCAUGUGGUUUAAAGUGUAUCAAAUUACCCCCUGUGGUUUCGUUUUUAUCUUUUCAGUAGCUUUUUCAUUAAUAUUUCGUUAAAUUAUAUACAAAAAACUUCAGAUACACAUCUAGAUUUAUCAAAUAUUCACUUUAAUUAGUACCCUUUAAUUUUAACUUUAUUACUGAUUUAAGAAAAAAAAAUAAUGAAAUUGAUAAGAAAAAGAAAAAAAACAAAACCACAUGGGAGCAAAUUGAUACAUUUU
Molecule: long non-coding RNA, 569 nt
Filed under: Ananas comosus (pineapple)
Lineage: Eukaryota; Viridiplantae; Streptophyta; Magnoliopsida; Poales; Bromeliaceae
Description: long non-coding RNA (ACOM_LNC021093)
Source: RNAcentral